Molecule: ribosomal RNA, 522 nt
Filed under: uncultured bacterium
Lineage: Bacteria
Description: bacterial SSU rRNA
Rfam family: Bacterial small subunit ribosomal RNA
Source: RNAcentral
UUGACAACUCUAGAGAUAGAGUCUUCCCCUUCGGGGGACAAAGUGACAGGUGGUGCAUGGUUGUCGUCAGCUCGUGUCGUGAGAUGUUGGGUUAAGUCCCGCAACGAGCGCAACCCUUAAGCUUAGUUGCCAGCAUUAAGUUGGGCACUCUAAGUUGACUGCCGGUGACAAACCGGAGGAAGGUGGGGAUGACGUCAAAUCAUCAUGCCCCUUAUGAUUUGGGCUACACACGUGCUACGAUGGACAAUACAAAGGGCAGCUAAACCGCGAGGUCAUGCAAAUCCCAUAAAGUUGUUCUCAGUUCGGAUUGUAGUCUGCAACUCGACUACAUGAAGCUGGAAUCGCUAGUAAUCGUAGAUCAGCAUGCUACGGUGAAUACGUUCCCGGGUCUUGUACACACCGCCCGUCACACCACGAGAGUCUGUAACACCCGAAGCCGGUGGAGUAACCAUUUAUGGAGCUAGCCGUCGAAGGUGGGACAAAUGAUUGGGGUGAAGUCGUAACAAGGUAGCCGUAUCGGAA